Molecule: ribosomal RNA, 371 nt
Filed under: uncultured organism
Description: bacterial SSU rRNA
Rfam family: Bacterial small subunit ribosomal RNA
Source: RNAcentral
CGUAGGGUGCGAGCGUUAAUCGGAAUUACUGGGCGUAAAGCGUGCGCAGGCGGUUAUGUAAGACAGAUGUGAAAUCCCCCGGGCUCAACCUGGGACCUGCAUUUGUGACUGCAUAGCUAGAGUACGGUAGAGGGGGAUGGAAUUCCGCGUGUAGCAGUGAAAUGCGUAGAUAUGCGGAGGAACACCGAUGGCGAAGGCAAUCCCCUGGACCUGUACUGACGCUCAUGCACGAAAGCGUGGGGAGCAAACAGGAUUAGAUACCCUGGUAGUCCACGCCCUAAACGAUGUCAACUGGUUGUUGGGUCUUCACUGACUCAGUAACGAAGCUAACGCGUGAAGUUGACCGCCUGGGGAGUACGGCCGCAAGGUUG